UUAAAUUGAAGAGUUUGAUCAUGGCUCAGAUUGAACGCUGGCGGCAGGCCUAACACAUGCAAGUCGAGCGGUAGCACAGAGAGCUUGCUCUCGGGUGACGAGCGGCGGACGGGUGAGUAAUGUCUGGGAAACUGCCUGAUGGAGGGGGAUAACUACUGGAAACGGUAGCUAAU
Molecule: ribosomal RNA, 173 nt
Filed under: Klebsiella quasipneumoniae
Lineage: Bacteria; Pseudomonadati; Pseudomonadota; Gammaproteobacteria; Enterobacterales; Enterobacteriaceae
Description: 16S rRNA. Bacterial SSU
Rfam family: Bacterial small subunit ribosomal RNA
Source: RNAcentral